Molecule: long non-coding RNA, 1954 nt
Filed under: Homo sapiens (human)
Lineage: Eukaryota; Metazoa; Chordata; Mammalia; Primates; Hominidae
Description: non-protein coding LINC01094:22
Source: RNAcentral
GGAUCUACUUACCAACGCAGAAAAUGAUACACACGGAUUCGAUUUAGGCACGCUACAUUCAAAUGACUUGGAAGAGCAGGUUCUCUGAGCCAGGAUACUAAAGUCCCUGUUUAGGAAAGAGCCACGUUGUAUGUUUACCCUACCACAAAGAUACAGUCAUGUGCCUGGGAAAGAUUGAUGCCAGCUCCAGAAAGGCAUCCGAAUGGUCUAAGUAAUGCCAUCCAUCUGUCAGUAAUAGAUUCAGAAAUGGUGCUGGCAGAGGAAACAGCAGCAAUGAUGCUCUGCGAGCCUGACUCAGGGCCAGCAGUGAUGGCAGCCCAAGAAUUCUGGAGGAAAGUGGCUCUGGGAAUUGAACAGUGGCUCAGUGAUGUUGGGGCCACCAAGUCUGCAAUUCUCCCUACCUGUUCUUCAUGGUUGUAAGAUGACUGCUGCAAUUCUCGGCAUCAUGUGCAUGUUAAUGUCAGGAGGAAGAAAGGAAGAGGGAGCACUGGGAUGUUACAUUCAUUUUGUCAGGAAAAGCAAAGCCUUUCCAGACAGCUCCGAAACUUGCUUACCUCUCAUUGGCCAGCACCAUCACUUGACCACUUGUCCACUCCUAGCUGCAAGGAAAGUGGCAAAGUAGAAGGUAUUUGAGAAUGUCUGCUGGGUUAGCCAAAACAAUAGUGACUUCUACACCCAAUUUUCUGGGCACUGCAGAAGUAUCCUUGAGUCCUAUGUGAUCAGAGGGAGAGCAAACCUCAAUAAUGAAACAGAUUCAAUUUCCAUCACCCAGUGAGACACCAUGGGAUUAGAAUAAAUUUUUAAAAAAACAAAUUGAAAAAAAUGCAUUUUUAAAACAACAAAAUCAGAAAGGAUGAAAGGUGAUAUUUCUAGCAUAUCAGUUUGUGGUGGUAAAUUAAUUACCUUAUACAAAGGCCUCAGUGACUUUCUUCUCCUUACCUAACGAAUCAUCUUUAAAAUAAGUAAAAUAAAGAAACAAGAGCAGCAGCAGAUGCUUCCUAAAAAGAAGUUACCAAAUCUGUUCACCACAAACCUGAGAAUUCAACUGUGGACAUUUGGACACCAGCAAUGAACAUGAAACUCAGCUUAUGAGGCAUAUUUGGCUAAAGGUCAAGGUGACUUAAAGUUCAUCAUAGGACAUCUACAAUUUGCAAAGCAGGUGACUGGAUAUGGACUCCUUCCAAGUCUCAUUUAAUUGGAUAAUGCCUACGUUUUAAGUAUCAGAAGUGAGUCUUUCUCUAUUAAAUGAAGUCAGUUCCACUAAAACCUAAAUCUUGUUUGGCAGGCACUCCAUGUUUCUUAAUUUUUAUUCCAUGCUGUAUAUUCUUUUAGACUUGAUUUUCACUUUUUUUUCUUUUUUCCUGUACAUUUAUCUUUGCUGUGAAACAAAGUGCCCUGCUUUGAAGGACAGGUUUGUGGGCUGCUGGUGGUGAGACAACAGCAGUCCUUCCAAGUCUUCCUCCCAUCACUCUGUUAGCUCUCCCUUUGUUUUUAAUUAGCAUUACACCAGUUAAUUCUGUUAUCUCUUAACCCUGGUUCUGCAUCCUCUUCUUCUUUUCUAUUCCUUACUCCGCUCCUGUUUUUUCUUGUUCUGCUUUUCCAAGAAAUGUCUUGUCUCCUCAUCAGUUGACUGUCUUCUCUUUCCAGAGGGACCAUAAAGGUGCCAGCCUAAGGAACACGUAAAACGUGGGAACAGACAAACAAGCUGCUGCCUAUUACAGAGAUAGAUAAUUAACUUUGGACCAUUACAUGCAAUUCAUCAGCUUAUCUUUUUCAAACUUUAUAUAAGAAGUCAUUUCCCAAUGGUAACCACUUGCCAGCUGCAACUUUGACGCAUAUUAUCAGGAUAGGUGAGAUUGAUGGGGGCCCUUUGAACUCUUCCCAGGGAAUUAUCUUUAUAAUGUUACAGUUUUCUCUAUAGCAUGGUCAUAUUGUUAACAUUGGUUAUAAGGUC